RNAcentral lists this ribosomal RNA (489 nucleotides) under uncultured Oscillospiraceae bacterium. Its description in RNAcentral is "bacterial SSU rRNA". It matches the Rfam family "Bacterial small subunit ribosomal RNA", at positions 20 to 507 of the family's 1533-position model. The record is from RNAcentral. Lineage: Bacteria; Bacillati; Bacillota; Clostridia; Eubacteriales; Oscillospiraceae.
UGGCUCAGGAUGAACGCUGGCGGCGUGCUUAACACAUGCAAGUCGAACGAGAAUCAGUGGAACAAGGAUUCGUCUGAGGGAAGCUGAGGAAAGUGGCGGACGGGUGAGUAACGCGUGAGCAAUCUGCCUUGGAGUGGGGAAUAACGGCUGGAAACAGCCGCUAAUACCGCAUGAUGCAUCUGAGUCGCAUGGUUUGGAUGCCAAAGAUUUAUCGCUCUGAGAUGAGCUCGCGUCUGAUUAGCUAGUUGGCGGGGUAAUGGCCCACCAAGGCGACGAUCAGUAGCCGGACUGAGAGGUUGGCCGGCCACAUUGGGACUGAGACACGGCCCAGACUCCUACGGGAGGCAGCAGUGGGGAAUAUUGGGCAAUAGGCGCAAGCCUGACCCAGCAACGCCGCGUGAAGGAAGAAGGCUUUCGGGUUGUAAACUUCUUUUAUUCGGGACGAAGAAAGUGACGGUACCGAAUGAAUAAGCCACGGCUAACUACGUG